AUGAACGCUAGCUACAGGCUUAACACAUGCAAGUCGAGGGGCAGCAUGUGGUUGCUUGCAACCAAUGAUGGCGACCGGCGCACGGGUGAGUAACGCGUAUCCAACCUGGCCCGCAGUAGGGAACAGCCCGGCGAAAGUCGGAUUAAUGCCCUAUGUCUUCCUUUGCAGGCAUCCAAUGAGGAAGAAAGAUUUAUCGCUGCGGGAUGGGGAUGCGUCUGAUUAGCUUGUCGGCGGGGUAACGGCCCACCGAGGCGACGAUCAGUAGGGGUUCUGAGAGGAAGGUCCCCCACACUGGUACUGAGACACGGACCAGACUCCUACGGGAGGCAGCAGUGAGGAAUAUUGGUCAAUGGGCGAGAGCCUGAACCAGCCAAGUAGCGUGCAGGAACCGACUGCCCUAUGGGUUGUAAACUGCUUUUAUGCGGGGAUAAACUUCAGCACGUGUGCUGUUUUGCAGGUACCGCAUGAAUAAGGACCGGCUAAUUCCGUGCCAGCAGCGGC
RNAcentral lists this ribosomal RNA (501 nucleotides) under uncultured bacterium. RNAcentral's name for it is "bacterial SSU rRNA". It matches the Rfam family "Bacterial small subunit ribosomal RNA", at positions 29 to 518 of the family's 1533-position model. The record is from RNAcentral.